Molecule: non-coding RNA, 199 nt
Organism: Planctomycetes bacterium RBG_13_63_9
Lineage: Bacteria; Pseudomonadati; Planctomycetota
Source: Rfam
AGAAGCCCGUCCGGUAGAGCUUGGCCAGCAGCCGGAAGCGAGUCUUGCGUAGCAGUACGAAGCGUAGACAGCCAGUGCUGAAGCCGCGUUAUUGAGCCUCGAAAGUUGCAAUGCAGGAGCCUUCGUCGUGGUCAGAGCGGGGGCCGCGUUGGCGUGUCGUAACGGCCUGACACGUCAGUCCUGCCGGGGUCGAAGAGCG